UACGUAGGGGGCAAGCGUUGUCCGGAAUUAUUGGGCGUAAAGCGCGCGCAGGCGGCCUGUUAAGUCUGAUGUGAAAGCCCACGGCUCAACCGUGGAGGGCCAUUGGAAACUGGUAGGCUUGAGUGCAGGAGAGGAGAGCGGAAUUCCUGGUGUAGCGGUGAAAUGCGUAGAUAUCAGGAGGAACACCCGUGGCGAAGGCGGCUCUCUGGCCUGUAACUGACGCUGAGGCGCGAAAGCGUGGGGAGCGAACAGG
RNAcentral lists this ribosomal RNA (253 nucleotides) under uncultured bacterium. RNAcentral's name for it is "partial 16S ribosomal RNA". It matches the Rfam family "Bacterial small subunit ribosomal RNA", at positions 524 to 776 of the family's 1533-position model. The record is from RNAcentral.